This is a non-coding RNA of Acanthosepion pharaonis, 112 nucleotides long. The record is from the annotation of a GenBank genome assembly. Lineage: Eukaryota; Metazoa; Mollusca; Cephalopoda; Sepiida; Sepiidae.
UACGUCCACAUCACGUUUAAAGACCGGUUCGCGUACGAUCACCGAAGCUAAGCAACCUCAAGCCUGGUCAGUACUUAGAUGAGUGACCGUUUAGUAAUACCGGGUGGUGUAA